AAUCUGCAAUUGCCCCCAUGCAGGACUACAGACCUCCGUUUACAAGAUUGACAGCUGGCGCUCUACGACUGAGCUAUAGGGGCUUCACGGUCUUAAAAAUUAUUGGUCCCAAAGUUAUUAAAACAAACUGCUAAUCAUAGAUAUGAACACCAUUUAUGUAUGUGUAUGUAUUUGUUACUUGUUACGCCAUUGCAUUUACCUCCGGCAGCCAUGGGUCAUGGAUCGGAAAGGCAAAUUGAAUAAAUACUUCAAUUCCUAUCAACAUGCAUCGACCGACAAGGCCCACCUUAUCUUUUGCAUGCCAAGAACCUUCAUAGCCAAGAAAUGACUGAGGAGAAUGUUGAUUAAGGUUGAAAGAAAGGAAACGGGUGUACGGUUUUUUUUCAACACACAAGUAAAGAACACGAUGGUUCAAGGAGAUACAACGUUUGUGAAGCAUCACAAUGUUUCAGAAGUAAUCGCAAGGAAGAAUUGGUAUAAAUAGGAUGUUUUAUUUCAGUUUUAUGUAACCCCCAUUUGUACAAAAAGAAU
Erigeron canadensis is the source of this 531-nucleotide long non-coding RNA. RefSeq lists it as uncharacterized. Lineage: Eukaryota; Viridiplantae; Streptophyta; Magnoliopsida; Asterales; Asteraceae. The transcript is spliced from 3 exons. The record is from RefSeq and is a predicted model, not a curated record.